AGUGAACGCUGGCGGUAGGCCUAACACAUGCAAGUCGAACGGCAGCACAGUAAGAGCUUGCUCUUACGGGUGGCGAGUGGCGGACGGGUGAGGAAUACAUCGGAAUCUACUUUUUCGUGGGGGAUAACGUAGGGAAACUUACGCUAAUACCGCAUACGACCUACGGGUGAAAGCAGGGGAUCUUCGGACCUCGCGCGAUUGAAUGAGCCGAUGUCGGAUUAGCUAGUUGGCGGGGUAAAGGCCCACCAAGGCGACGAUCCGUAGCUGGUCUGAGAGGAUGAUCAGCCACACUGGAACUGAGACACGGUCCAGACUCCUACGGGAGGCAGCAGUGGGGAAUAUUGGACAAGGGGCGCAAGCCUGAUCCAGCCAUACCGCGUGGGUGAAGAAGGCCUUCGGGUUGUAAAGCCCUUUUGUUGGGAAAGAAAAGCAGCAGGUUAAUACCCCGCUGUUCUGACGGUACCCAAAGAAUAAGCACCGGCUAACUUCGUG
RNAcentral lists this ribosomal RNA (492 nucleotides) under uncultured bacterium. RNAcentral describes it as "partial 16S ribosomal RNA". It matches the Rfam family "Bacterial small subunit ribosomal RNA", at positions 29 to 507 of the family's 1533-position model. The record is from RNAcentral.